RNAcentral lists this ribosomal RNA (460 nucleotides) under uncultured bacterium. Its description in RNAcentral is "partial 16S ribosomal RNA". It matches the Rfam family "Bacterial small subunit ribosomal RNA", at positions 338 to 795 of the family's 1533-position model. The record is from RNAcentral.
CCUACGGGUGGCAGCAGUGAGGAAUAUUGGUCAAUGGGCGAGAGCCUGAACCAGCCAAGUCGCGUGAAGGAUGAAGGUUCUAUGGUUUGUAAACUUCUUUUAUGUGGGAAUAAAGUGAGGAACGUGUUCCUUUUUGUAUGUACCAUAUGAAUAAGCAUCGGCUAACUCCGUUCCAACAGCCGCGGUAAUACUGGGGCUGCGAGCGUUAUCCGGAUUUAUUGGGUUUAAAGGGUGGGUAGGUGGUUAAUAAAGUCAGCGGUGAAAGUUUGGGGCUCAACCAUAAAAUUGCCGUUGAAACUGGUUGACUUGAGUAUACUUGAGGUAGGCGGAAUGCGUGGUGUAGCGGUGAAAUGCAUAGAUAUCACGCAGAACUCCGAUUGCGAAGGCAGCUUACUAAACUAUAACUGACACUGAGGCACGAAAGCGUGGGGAUCGAACAGGAUUAGAUACCCCAGUAGUC